UGGGGAAUUUUGGACAAUGGGCGAAAGCCUGAUCCAGCAAUGCCGCGUGUGUGAAGAAGGCCUUCGGGUUGUAAAGCACUUUUGUCCGGAAAGAAAUCCUUGGCUCUAAUACAGUCGGGGGAUGACGGUACCGGAAGAAUAAGCACCGGCUAACUACGUGCCAGCAGCCGCGGUAAUACGUAGGGUGCAAGCGUUAAUCGGAAUUACUGGGCGUAAAGCGUGCGCAGGCGGUUUGCUAAGACCGAUGUGAAAUCCCCGGGCUCAACCUGGGAACUGCAUUGGUGACUGGCAGGCUAGAGUAUGGCAGAGGGGGGUAGAAUUCCACGUGUAGCAGUGAAAUGCGUAGAGAUGUGGAGGAAUACCGAUGGCGAAGGCAGCCCCCUGGGCAAAUACUGACGCUCAUGCACGAAAGCGUGGGGAGCAAACAGGAUUAGAUACCCUGGUAGUCCACGCCCUAAAACGAUGUCAACUAGUUGUUGGGGAUUCAUUUCCUUAGUAACGUAGCUAACGCGUGAAGUUGACCGCCUGGGGAGUACGGUCGCAAGAUUAAAACUCAAAUGAAUUGACGGGGUCAUAGCUGUUUCCU
Molecule: ribosomal RNA, 586 nt
Filed under: uncultured bacterium
Lineage: Bacteria
Description: partial 16S ribosomal RNA
Rfam family: Bacterial small subunit ribosomal RNA
Source: RNAcentral